Molecule: non-coding RNA, 72 nt
Organism: Brassica napus (rape)
Lineage: Eukaryota; Viridiplantae; Streptophyta; Magnoliopsida; Brassicales; Brassicaceae
Source: Rfam
GGGUCCAUAGCUCAGUGUUAGAGCAUUCAACUGCAGAUCAAGAGGUCACCGGUUCGAACCCGGUUGGGCCCU